Molecule: unclassified non-coding RNA, 203 nt
Filed under: Hevea brasiliensis (rubber tree)
Lineage: Eukaryota; Viridiplantae; Streptophyta; Magnoliopsida; Malpighiales; Euphorbiaceae
Source: RNAcentral
CAGCUUCAUGGCGGCAUGGGAAUGAGCGACGAACUCAACAUCGGUCACUACUUCAAACGCAUCCUGUCGAUCAACAUUCAGUUCGGCGACCCGACGUACCACCUGCUGCGCUACGCCGCGCAGCCUGACCACGGCAUCCCGAAGGUCCAGCAUGGCAGCCCUGCUGAGCGGUCGCGACGCUUCUUAUUGAAUGAUGAUUGUCA